This 582-nucleotide long non-coding RNA is filed under the name Gouania willdenowi (blunt-snouted clingfish). RNAcentral's name for it is "lncRNA (ENSGWIG00000021350.1)". Lineage: Eukaryota; Metazoa; Chordata; Actinopteri; Blenniiformes; Gobiesocidae. The record is from RNAcentral.
AUGCAAACUUACUGUAAAAUCCAUUACACAUUCAACUCUCUCCCUCUACCCCCACCCUCUCUAAUCUUUAUCUCUCUCUUUGUAUUGUUAUUCUCUAGUGCACCCAAGCCUGAUCUGCAGUUUGGAUGUAAUCCAAACAAGCUGAUGUCGUUUUGGCCAGUUAUUACUGCUGGUGGACGCCAGCAUAGACUCCAGUCUGAGCCCCGGGGAGCAAUCGAGAGGUCCAACCUAAACGUGUAACCUGAGCACAACUCCUCAAUAUUGUGCAAGGAUGUUGAAAGGAGGAGGGGGAAAGUGGAGGAUAUGUUGCACACACAGAGAAUUGGACAAACUUGGCAGAACUCCUGUGUGUAGUUGUGUGAUAGCGUGAGUAUUUUCAAAGCAGCCAACAUGUAAGAUGAGCGUGAAAUGAUACAUUUCCAAUCCAUACGACUGGCACUGACAACAUCUGUGACAGGCUCUCAGCUGCUGGCAGUUUGAAAGGUAAUUCAUUUAUCUGUGUAGAUUUCAAGAGGAAAAAUAUAUAUAAUAUGAUCAAAUGGGGAUAAGCACAGUCUUUAUGUGCUGUUUGUGCACACACAC